UGGAAAGGCGCGCGAUACAGGGUGACAGCCCCGUACACAAAAAUGCACAUAUUGUGAGCUCGAUGAGUAGGGCGGGACACGUGGUAUCCUGUCUGAAUAUGGGGGGACCAUCCUCCAAGGCUAAAUACUCCUGACUGACCGAUAGUGAACCAGUACCGUGAGGGAAAGGCGAAAAGAACCCCGGCGAGGGGAGUGAAAAAGAACCUGAAACCGUGUACGUACAAGCAGUGGGAGCCUCUUAAUGGGGUGACUGCGUACCUUUUGUAUAAUGGGUCAGCGACUUAUAUUCUGUAGCAAGGUUAACCGAAUAGGGGAGCCGAAGGGAAACCGAGUCUUAACUGGGCGUUAAGUUGCAGGGUAUAGACCCGAAACCCGGUGAUCUAGCCAUGGGCAGGUUGAAGGUUGGGUAACACUAACUGGAGGACCGAACCGACUAAUGUUGAAAAAUUAGCGGAUGACUUGUGGCUGGGGGUGAAAGGCCAAUCAAACCGGGAGAUAGCUGGUUCUCCCCGAAAGCUAUUUA
This 523-nucleotide ribosomal RNA is filed under the name Escherichia coli. RNAcentral describes it as "partial 23S ribosomal RNA". It matches the Rfam family "Bacterial large subunit ribosomal RNA", at positions 343 to 872 of the family's 2925-position model. The record is from RNAcentral. Lineage: Bacteria; Pseudomonadati; Pseudomonadota; Gammaproteobacteria; Enterobacterales; Enterobacteriaceae.